This 1039-nucleotide long non-coding RNA is filed under the name Chrysemys picta bellii (western painted turtle). RNAcentral describes it as "lncRNA (ENSCPBG00000003223.1)". Lineage: Eukaryota; Metazoa; Chordata; Testudines; Emydidae. The record is from RNAcentral.
CUGCUAUGUUUGUGGUGAAGUGACUUUUGCAUCACAAAAGCGCAGUAUAACCACUAUGGUUAAGAAAGCCUAUCACCUUUAUUUUGGCUGCAAAAUUGGAGAUCAGGACAAGAGGUGGCCCCACACAUAUGCUGCAACACUUGUGCAACAAAUCUUCGCCAGUGGGUGAAUAGGAAAAGGAAAUCUAUGCCUUUUGCAGUGCCUAUGAUUUGGAGAGAGCCAACAGAUCAUACCAGCAAUUGUUACUUCUGCAUGGUGCCUCCAGUUGGGAAAGGUGUGUCAAAGAAGAAAAAGUGGACUGUGCAUUAUCCAAACAUUCCAUCAGCUAUACGCCCAGUACUCCAUGGAGAAGGACUGCCAGUUCCUGAUGCACCAGAAUCAUUCUCACUUGAGUCAGACGAGGAAGAGGAAGAGGAUGAAACUUCUGGUCCUGAACCAUCAAUGUCACAGGACCCACAUUUUCUCCCAUCCUCCUCCUCUGAACCACACCUCAUAACACAAGGUGAACUGAAUGACCUUGUCAGGGAUUUGGAACUACCCAAGAGCAAGGCAGAGCUGUUGGGCUCCAGCCUACAGCAGUGGAAUCUCCUGGCAGGUGAUGUUAGGGUUUCCAUGUUCCGUGACCGUCAAAAGGAUCUUGUCCCAUUCUUCUUCAUGGAAGGCGAUCUUGUAGCCUGCAACAACAUCGAUGGUGUAAUGGCAGUCCUCAACAUCGUUCACGAUCCAGAUGAGUGGAGACUGUUCAUAGAUUCAUCAAAGACGAGUCUUAAAGCUGUUUUACUGCAUAAUGGCAACAUUUUGCCAUCAAUUCCAGUUGAUCAUGCAGUCCAUAUGAAGGAAACCUAUGACAACAUGAAACAACUUUUGAGGUGCAUAAACUAUGACCAACAUCAGUGGCAGCUUUGUGGUGAUUUGAAGGUUGUUGCUCUCUUGCUUGGUCUGCAAACUGAAUACACAAAGUACUGCUGUUUUCUCUGCGAAUGGGAUAGUCAUGCAAGAGAUUCCCACUACAUCAAGAAAGAUUGGCCACUCCGACAGU